GCCCGGAUGGCGGAACAGGUAGACGCGCUGGUCUCAAAAACCAGUGGGAUUUUCCCUUGCCGGUUCGAUUCCGGCUCCGGGUA
This 83-nucleotide transfer RNA is filed under the name Bacteroidota bacterium. RNAcentral's name for it is "Bacteroidetes bacterium (hot springs metagenome) tRNA-Leu". It matches the Rfam family "tRNA". From Rfam's summary of the family: Transfer RNA (tRNA) molecules are approximately 80 nucleotides in length. Their secondary structure includes four short double-helical elements and three loops (D, anti-codon, and T loops). RNAcentral also lists the same sequence under 2 other names. The record is from RNAcentral. Lineage: Bacteria; Pseudomonadati; Bacteroidota.